CCAGUUAAAUUGGAGUUUCAGGUAAACAGUGACUGAUAUGUUAGCAUAAUUAUGUUCCAAACAUUGCAUGGGACAUACUAAUGCUAAAAAAAAAUA
RNAcentral lists this microRNA precursor (96 nucleotides) under Choloepus hoffmanni (Hoffmann's two-fingered sloth). RNAcentral describes it as "miRNA (ENSCHOG00000015272.1)". Lineage: Eukaryota; Metazoa; Chordata; Mammalia; Pilosa; Megalonychidae. The record is from RNAcentral.